GGACUUAACAAGCAGCUGGAACUUGUUCUCACUGGCGCUAACAGAAAAACAGCUUUAUAAACCAUUGCUGUAUGCUGUUGAACAAAGAUGCCCGAUUCAUGCUUUAAAAGGAGGCUCCUGGAAGAACAGCCUGAAGACACUGUCUCAGAUCAAAAGCAGCCUCAAAAGGACAUCUUUUUCAAAUUCAAUUACUGACUCUGGGGACUUACAUGGAGGAGUUAUGGUUAUGAAGAAGAAAAGAUCAACCACUUGGAUCUGAAGAUGUUUACAGCAUUAAGAUAGAUGGAUUAUACAAGGUCGGAUCCUAAUAUUUUCUCUUCUGAUGAGACAAUUUAAAAAGAUAAGUGCCGAUUUUUACUUUCAGAGUCAUCAGCUCUGUAUUUUUCCCCUUGUCUCCUGACAUUCUCUUGGAUUUGUGGUGUUAAUUACAUUCCACUAACCUUGGCUUCUAGAAUGCCAAGACUCUUAGCUGCUAAGAUCCACAAAUAACAUCAAUUAGAUAAAUGGGGCGUUUCCACUCUCUCAUGCAACCCUGUUGGAUCUGCAAGUGCAGCGCUAAUAACUCCUAGGAUUCUGCUGCAUGGUCCUGACUUCAAAUAUUUUGAGAAUGAAUGUAAAUUAGAGUAUUUUGACUUUUAGUUUGAAUAAUAUAAUCACUAUACAUAUAUGAAAUAUUAAAACUUUGAAAUAAAAAUUGUUCUCAUUUUGAAACUCCA
Molecule: long non-coding RNA, 716 nt
Filed under: Sus scrofa (pig)
Lineage: Eukaryota; Metazoa; Chordata; Mammalia; Artiodactyla; Suidae
Description: lncRNA (ENSSSCG00065001128.1)
Source: RNAcentral